This is a small nuclear RNA of Armigeres subalbatus, 144 nucleotides long. RefSeq annotates it as U4 spliceosomal RNA. The record is from RefSeq and is a predicted model, not a curated record. Lineage: Eukaryota; Metazoa; Arthropoda; Insecta; Diptera; Culicidae. The transcript has a single exon.
AGCUUUGCGCAGUGGCGAUAUCGUAACCAAUGAGGUACAACCGAGGUGCGAUUAUUGCUAGUUGAAAACUAAUACCAAUACCCCGCCGCGCAACCUCUCCCAGCCCCUCACAAGCUACCGAUUCAUUGGCACACGCUUAAAUGA